RNAcentral lists this ribosomal RNA (202 nucleotides) under uncultured Allobrachymonas sp. RNAcentral describes it as "uncultured Brachymonas sp. partial 16S ribosomal RNA". It matches the Rfam family "Bacterial small subunit ribosomal RNA", at positions 1179 to 1382 of the family's 1533-position model. Lineage: Bacteria; Pseudomonadati; Pseudomonadota; Betaproteobacteria; Burkholderiales; Comamonadaceae. The record is from RNAcentral.
AUGACGUCAAGUCCUCAUGGCCCUUAUAGUGGGGCUACACACGUCAUACAAUGGCCGGUACAGAGGGUAGCCAACCCGCGAGGGGAGCCAAUCCCACAAAGCCGGUCGUAGUCCGGAUCGCAGUCUGCAACUCGACUGCGUGAAGUCGGAAUCGCUAGUAAUCGCGGAUCAGCAUGUCGCGGUGAAUACGUUCCCGGGUCUU